GGUACCAUACUUCCUUUGCCUCCCAUGGCCACUGGUCUCCCAUAUUAGUACCUCCACAUACAAAGCAAUUAGUUACAUUACAACUACCCGCAAUACUCUCAGCCAAAUCAAUAAAUAGGUUCUUAACAUUAUGGGGAAUUUUAUCCUCAACACUCAUCUCCUCAUAAAAGGAAUGAAAAACCUGAUGAGUUUGAGUUGCUACGUCUCAGUUUCGAGUCCUACAUAUAUUAUGGUCCCUGGAUCUACU
Non-coding RNA from Pelobates cultripes (western spadefoot toad), 247 nucleotides. NCBI's taxonomy places the organism in Eukaryota, Metazoa, Chordata, Amphibia, Anura, Pelobatidae. The record is from the annotation of a GenBank genome assembly.